This 253-nucleotide ribosomal RNA is filed under the name uncultured bacterium. RNAcentral describes it as "partial 16S ribosomal RNA". It matches the Rfam family "Bacterial small subunit ribosomal RNA", at positions 524 to 776 of the family's 1533-position model. The record is from RNAcentral.
UACGGGGGGGGCAAGCGUUGUUCGGAAUUACCGGGCGUAAAGCGCACGUAGGCGGACUAUUAAGUCAGGGGUGAAAUCCCGGGGCUCAACCCCGGAACUGCCUUUGAUACUGGUAGUCUCGAGUCCGGAAGAGGUGAGUGGAAUUCCGAGUGUAGAGGUGAAAUUCGUAGAUAUUCGGAGGAACACCAGUGGCGAAGGCGGCUCACUGGUCCGGUACUGACGCUGAGGUGCGAAAGCGUGGGGAGCAAACAGG